RNAcentral lists this transfer RNA (62 nucleotides) under Tubifex tubifex (sludge worm). RNAcentral's name for it is "tRNA-Trp". The record is from RNAcentral. Lineage: Eukaryota; Metazoa; Annelida; Clitellata; Tubificida; Naididae.
AAGAUCCUAAGUUACACAAACUAAUAGCCUUCAAAGCUAUCAACGGAAUUAUCCGGAUCUUG